RNAcentral lists this ribosomal RNA (519 nucleotides) under uncultured eukaryote. Its description in RNAcentral is "SSU rRNA". It matches the Rfam family "Eukaryotic small subunit ribosomal RNA", at positions 1161 to 1699 of the family's 1831-position model. The record is from RNAcentral.
AGGGCACCACCAGGAGUGGAGCCUGCGGCUUAAUUUGACUCAACACGGGAAAACUUACCUGGUCAGGACACUGGAAGGAUUGACAGAUUGAGAGCUCUUUCUUGAUUCAGUGGGUGGUGGUGCAUGGCCGUUCUUAGUUGGUGGAGCGAUUUGUCUGGUUAAUUCCGAUAACGAACGAGACUCUAGCCUACUAAAUAGAUCGUCGGCUUACAAACGCUGAUGAGACUUCUUAGAGGGACAGGCGGCGAUUCAGCCGCACGAAACAGAGCAAUAACAGGUCUGUGAUGCCCUUAGAUGUCCGGGGCCGCACGCGCGCUACACUGAAGUGAUCAGCGUGCAUUUUCAGCCUACUCUGCCAAGAGUGGGAAACCCAAUGAACCUUCUUCGUGAUUGGGAUAGGAGAUUGUAAUUAUUCUCCUUGAACGAGGAAUUCCCAGUAAGCGCGAGUCAUAAGCUCGCGUUGAUUACGUCCCUGCCCUUUGUACACACCGCCCGUCGCUACUACCGAUUGAAUGUUUU